RNAcentral lists this ribosomal RNA (723 nucleotides) under Triticum aestivum (bread wheat). RNAcentral's name for it is "partial small subunit ribosomal RNA". Lineage: Eukaryota; Viridiplantae; Streptophyta; Magnoliopsida; Poales; Poaceae. The record is from RNAcentral.
AUGAACAUAGCUCUCCUGACGAAGUGGCUGUGGCGGAUUGCGAAUGGAGAGGGUGGCUUGUGGCUUCACAUCAUCCAGCAGAAAUACCUCUGUGGCCAGCCACUCGCCUUCUGCCAGCGGUCCGGUGGAUCCCAGUUUUGGCAAUCCAUCAUUCAGCUCCUCCCAAUCCUCCGCAUAGGGACCUCGAUUGCGGUUGAAUCGGGCACCGCCACACUGUUUUGGUUUGAUAGAUGGGCUGGGAACUCCCCCUUUGCGAUGCGCUUCCCUGAUCUAUUCUCUAUCGCGGUAGAGCCGCGGAUCUCUGUUGCGAUGGACCUUAUUGACUUAGGGCACCUCGCGUUCCGGAGACCGUUUGUACCAGCCGAAAAUGAUGUGUGGCAAGACCUACUUGAUUGCAUCGCCUUGCAUGAGCCGAAUCUGGAGAUUGGAGAGGACCGCACCAGGUGGCGGCUAGAGCCAUCUGGACAAUUCUCCUCUAAAUCUCUAUACCAUGCCAUAGCCCCCUCGCUAGGCCCUGAGGCUCUCACCACCAUCUGGGAGAUUCGGCUCCCCUUGAAGAUUAGGAUUUUCUUAUGGCAAUGGAUUCACGGCCGCCUUCCGUCCAGCGUUGAGGUCCUGAAGCGCAACGGCCCUGGUGACGGGCGAUGCCCGCUCUGCGGGCCUGAAGAGGAUACGAACCAUAUCUUCUUCACAUGUACGUCCGCGCAGUUCCUCUGGAGCUGA